UACAACCUUAUUUGAACUAAACGAACUUAAUGCUUCUUGCUCAUGGUCCCUUGUGUACUGAGUCAUGGUUAUACACACCUGAGUUGUCACAUCCUUUAUGCCAAUCUUAUUCUGACAAACUCUAGUGGUAGACCACUCCCAAAACCUUUCCCUCCUUUUAAGCUUUCAUUGUUUGAUGAGUGAGGCCUUCUUCGGAAAGUCUUACAUGUGCAUAAUGUUGAGAGUAUCGGGAACGUUAAUGUUUGAUCUUCAUUCUUGCUAGAUUGGACACUCUAUUGUCUAGCUAUAGGUGGGGGGUGAGAGUUGUGAUUAUGAUUUGGGAGCAAUGAAAAAAGAAAAGAAAUAACUCUUUGUGUUUAAGUGAAUUGUCUUACUGGGAUAAGUAGAAAAACUUCUAUCUCAAGUUAUGAAAAGUCUUGGCCCCCAUUUAAAAAAAAAAAAAAUAUAUAUAUGAAAAGAAAAGAAAAAGAAAGAAAAAGGGGGCUAGCAAAGUUGUUAGGAGCUAAGUAAUGUUUUGAGGUUGUGAAAAAUCUCUUGUAGAUUUCAAAGAGAAGGAGUUAAUGUUCUUAGGAUCUUUUGGUGAGAGAUGUGAGUUGGGUUUGACAUUUGAGAAUGAUUGUGUAAUUGUAUGUUUGGGAAAAUGGUAGAACAAUGGAGAUUGAGCAUUGUAUGCAUGAGUUGAUCUCUUUCUUAGAUUUAUUAUGUGCAAUGUCAAGGCUACUUGUUUCGAGAGUAAACCACCUUAAAGAUUUUAUGUUUCGAACCUCUUGAAUCACUUGAAUAAAAGCCUUCCCUCACCCAACCAAAUGACUUGGACCAACUUACCAUUUGCA
This 833-nucleotide long non-coding RNA is filed under the name Brassica napus (rape). RNAcentral's name for it is "long non-coding RNA (BNAP_LNC015846)". Lineage: Eukaryota; Viridiplantae; Streptophyta; Magnoliopsida; Brassicales; Brassicaceae. The record is from RNAcentral.